CAGGGUUUUACUGGAGCCUGGCGUUGUUUGGAGUUAAAUUGCAGAUGUAAAGAUUAAAUGGUUAAAGAGGAAGGAGCUACAGUGAGCCGGUCAUAUGAAAAGAUAACCGGUGCAUACGUCAGUUUGGGGGAACUCAAACCUGCAACAUGUCAUACAGCGAGUCAGGCAAAGCAACGUCAUCCAGCCGUGAAGCCAUUUGGCGGUGGGGAGGAGUGGGCCAUCUGAAGGCUAACCCCAGGAGCCCCCUUAACCCACAGUGGUUGAAAGCCCAGUCAAUCAGACGCAAUGAUGUUAAACUCCUCUCCAAUGAAUAGCCUUCACCAGUCAUCAGAGAGAUUGUCUGUGUCUGGAGGCUGAUUAGGAGUUCAUCUCAACUUGGCCUAAUCCAGAGGCACGGCGUCACUGCAGCAUCAGUGUUACCUUUGAUGGGCCCGGAUUAAAGCAAAUCUACAUUCCUUUGGUGGAUUUCAAACGCUGCCUGAACAAUGAUGCCAGCCAGAGGCGAGAUAAUGAGGCCUGCAGUGGACUGGCAACGAGUGACUUUAAAAUCAACCUGAUUAGGGUCAGAGAUAUUAUCUCUGCACCUCCCUCCUCCUUUUGCUCCUUCACUCUCUCUCUUCCAUCUCACCACUUCAGUUUUACCUCUUUCCUCCUUUCAAUUUUCUUCUCAAGUCGCCUCAUUUUUCACUCUCUUCCCCAACUCUACUCCUCUCUUCCUCUCCCCCUUACCCUAGUGAGUGAGGCCUGACUUAAUUAGUGGGCUGGAGUGUGAAUGUGCCUUUCACAGGGUGUUAAUGAAAAGCUUUGCGCUUUCCCUUUCACUGUAUUAGUGACUGACUGCAACCCCCCCCCACACACAC
This is a long non-coding RNA of Etheostoma cragini (Arkansas darter), 860 nucleotides long. RefSeq lists it as uncharacterized. The transcript is spliced from 5 exons. The record is from RefSeq and is a predicted model, not a curated record. NCBI's taxonomy places the organism in Eukaryota, Metazoa, Chordata, Actinopteri, Perciformes, Percidae.